Phascolarctos cinereus (koala) is the source of this 289-nucleotide unclassified non-coding RNA. It matches the Rfam family "Metazoan signal recognition particle RNA". From Rfam's summary of the family: The signal recognition particle (SRP) is a universally conserved ribonucleoprotein. NCBI's taxonomy places the organism in Eukaryota, Metazoa, Chordata, Mammalia, Diprotodontia, Phascolarctidae. The record is from Ensembl.
GCUAGAUGUGGUGGUGCAUACCUGUAAUCUAGGUACCAAGGAGGCUGGGGCUAGUGGGAGCUUGGGAAUUCUGAGCCCUAGUGGGACAUGCCAAUCAGUUGUACAUACUAAUUUUGUCAUCAAUAUGGUGAACUCUGAGGGGCAUGGGGCUACCAGGUUGCUUAAGGAGGGGCAAAACAGCUCAGGUUAAAAAUAACUCAGGCCAAAGCUUCUGUACCAAUUAAUGGGAUUGUGCCUGUGAGUAGCUUGUAUACUUUUAGCCUGGGUGAGAUGGGGAUACCUGCAUCUU